This 505-nucleotide ribosomal RNA is filed under the name uncultured bacterium. RNAcentral describes it as "partial 16S ribosomal RNA". It matches the Rfam family "Bacterial small subunit ribosomal RNA", at positions 28 to 507 of the family's 1533-position model. The record is from RNAcentral.
GACGAACGCUGGCGGCGUGCCUAAUACAUGCAAGUAGAACGCACAGUUUAUACCGUAGCUUGCUACACCAUACACUGUGAGUUGCGAACGGGUGAGUAACGCGUAGGUAACCUGCCUGGUAGCGGGGGAUAACUAUUGGAAACGAUAGCUAAUACCGCAUAUUAUUAAUUAUUGCAUGAUAAUUGAUUGAAAGAUGCAAUUGCAUCACUACCAGAUGGACCUGCGUUGUAUUAGCUAGUAGGUGAGGUAACGGCUCACCUAGGCGACGAUACAUAGCCGACCUGAGAGGGUGAUCGGCCACACUGGGACUGAGACACGGCCCAGACUCCUACGGGAGGCAGCAGUAGGGAAUCUUCGGCAAUGGACGAAAGUCUGACCGAGCAACGCCGCGUGAGUGAAGAAGGUUUUCGGAUCGUAAAGCUCUGUUGUAAGAGAAGAACGGGUGUGAGAGUGGAAAGUUCACACUGUGACGGUAUCUUACCAGAAAGGGACGGCUAACUACGUG